AUUAUUGGGCCUAAAGCGUCCGUAGCUGGCCGAACAGGUCUGUCGGGAAAUCCGCUCGCUCAACGAGCGGACGUCCGGCGGAAACCAGUCGGCUUGGGACCGGAAGACCCGAGGGGUACGUCCGGGGUAGGAGUGAAAUCCUGUAAUCCUGGACGGACCACCGGUGGCGAAAGCGCCUCGGGAGGACGGAUCCGACAGUGAGGGACGAAAGCUUGGGUCACGAACCGGAUUAGAUACCCGGGUAGUCCAAGCUGUAAACGAUGCUCGCUAGGUGUGGCACUGGCUACGAGCCAGUGCUGUGCCGUAGGGAAGCCGAGAAGCGAGCCGCCUGGGAAGUACGUCCGCAAGGAUGAAACUUAAAGGAAUUGGCGGGGGAGCACUACAACCGGAGGAGCCUGCGGUUUAAUUGGACUCAACGCCGGACAUCUCACCAGCACCGACAGUGUGCGAUGAAGAUCAGUGUGAUGAGCUUAUUGGAGCCACUGAGAGGAGGUGCAUGGCCGCCGUCAGCUCGUACCGUGAGGCGUCCUGUUAAGUCAGGCAACGAGCGAGACCCGCAUCCUUAAUUGCCAGCAGUACCCUUGUGGUAGCUGGGUACAUUAGGGAGACUGCCGUGGCUAACACGGAGGAAGGAACGGGCAACGGUAGGUCAGUAUGCCCCGAAUGUGCUGGGCUACACGCGGGCUACAAUGGCCGGGACAGUGGGACGCCACCCCGAGAGGGGGCGCUAAUCUCCUAAACCCGGUCGUAGUUCGGAUUGCGGGCUGAAACCCGCCCGCAUGAAGCUGGAUUCGGUAGUAAUCGCGUCUC
RNAcentral lists this ribosomal RNA (810 nucleotides) under uncultured archaeon. Its description in RNAcentral is "bacterial SSU rRNA". It matches the Rfam family "Archaeal small subunit ribosomal RNA", at positions 500 to 1306 of the family's 1478-position model. The record is from RNAcentral.